RNAcentral lists this ribosomal RNA (327 nucleotides) under uncultured eukaryote. RNAcentral's name for it is "partial 18S ribosomal RNA". It matches the Rfam family "Eukaryotic small subunit ribosomal RNA", at positions 1470 to 1796 of the family's 1831-position model. The record is from RNAcentral.
CCCUUAGAUGUUCUGGGCCGCACGCGCGCUACACUGAUUCAUGCAACAAGUUUUGUCCUUGGCUGAUAGGCCUGGGUAAUCUUUGAACGUGAAUCGUGAUGGGGAUAGAUGAUUGCAAUUAUUCAUCUUCAACGAGGAAUUCCUAGUAAACGCAAGUCAUCAGCUUGCAUUGAUUACGUCCUUGCCCUUUGUACACACCGCCCGUCGCACCUACCGAUUGAAUGGUCCGGUGAAAUCUUCGGAUCUGAGAGAUGUCUGAUUAAUUUCGGACGCCUUUUGGAAAAGUUGUUUAAACCUUACCAUUUAGAGGAAGGUGAAGUCGUAACA